Betta splendens (Siamese fighting fish) is the source of this 1145-nucleotide long non-coding RNA. RefSeq lists it as uncharacterized. The record is from RefSeq and is a predicted model, not a curated record. The transcript is spliced from 2 exons. NCBI's taxonomy places the organism in Eukaryota, Metazoa, Chordata, Actinopteri, Anabantiformes, Osphronemidae.
CAACCCGCUUCCACAUGAAGAACGCGCUAUUUGUGUCACUUUUCAAUUACGGCAGGUUGUUUCCCUUUGACGCCGUGUCACCGUGAACCCUGCGCGUGGAACCGCUGACAUUUCAUUAAUCCCCGGAAAGUGAAGUUUCAGUUUCGAACUCGUCCCAGCUCCGAGUGGAGAGGCGUUGAUUCCAGUGCUGAAAUGGCGCUCUCUAAAUUGCUUACGUCAUCAACAGCUGCGCCGUAUCUGCUAAUUGGACCGGCGCCGUCCGUUGACCGCCCGACAAGCCGCCAUCUUUGCCCACCUUGUUGUUGUGCAAGUAGAAAUAUCCCAGAACGCCUCAAAGUUCUUGCUGUUGCUAAAGACGAUUGCGCGCGCGUGAGUAAAUGAGUGGACACGCGCGUGCACGGUGCUAAAGUUCAGUUUGGUUAAAGGUGGAGGGAACCAGUUCUGUGGGGACCGUCGAACCCUCGAAGCCACGGGAUCCACUGCAGAAGUGCUCCUCCCCAAUAAGAAGCAGACGCGUGGAGGCCUCAGAGAUGGUCCAACGCAGCCCAGCGGGGUUCAGGAUGCAGGUAGGAACAGCUGACUCAGACACUGUACAGCUGCUGGGAACCUGCAAGGCCUCUGGUGGACGAGCCGGGGUUCAGGAACCAGCGCGGGCCAUUACUCAUCAGUGGAGAGGUUCUUUGUAUUUACACCUGUGUAAAAUCCCAGCUGAUGAAGGUAGAUGUUAUGACAACGUGCUGUGACGGUUGGACGCGACACAAACACAAAAGAAGAGGAUGGAUUUUGGAAGGCGGGGAUUUCCGCGAGAGUCGGACGGAUUGAAGCGGGCGCGACGACGCCGAGAGCCCGGCUGCGAUCAGAGACGGGCCGUCGGCGCUCCAUCCAGGUGUGAAGGUAAUGGCUGCACGCCGCUAAGCCCCUCAUCCGCCAUGUGGAAACGCGGGACUGUUGUGGGAUUUGGAGGGGAAAUUGAAUGUUGCCUUUUGUGUGCGCGGCUGACAAAGGUGCGGCGUUCGGAACGAGAGAUAAAACAAGGAAAUCACCCGGCAGGCGUUGAGCAAUGAUUUCCUUAUCUAUCACCACGAGAGAUCAUUUCAUUCCCGUAUGUAGCUGGAAGGGAGAAAUAAAAGCAUGUAAUCAUCUCA